GACCCCAGGUCAGGCGGGAUUACCCGCUGAAUUUAAGCAUAUCAAUAA
Molecule: ribosomal RNA, 48 nt
Filed under: Geranium maderense
Lineage: Eukaryota; Viridiplantae; Streptophyta; Magnoliopsida; Geraniales; Geraniaceae
Also listed under: 7 other names
Description: partial 26S ribosomal RNA
Source: RNAcentral